Molecule: ribosomal RNA, 372 nt
Filed under: uncultured organism
Description: bacterial SSU rRNA
Rfam family: Bacterial small subunit ribosomal RNA
Source: RNAcentral
CGUAGGGUGCGAGCGUUAAUCGGAAUUACUGGGUGUAAAGCGUGCGCAGGCGGUUUGUUAAGAUAGGCGUGAAAUCCCCGGGCUCAACCUGGGAACUGCGCUUAUGACUGGCAAGCUAGAGUACGGCAGAGGGGGGUGGAAUUCCACGUGUAGCAGUGAAAUGCGUAGAGAUGUGGAGGAACACCAAUGGCGAAGGCAGCCCCCUGGGUCGAUACUGACGCUCAUGCACGAAAGCGUGGGUAGCAAACAGGAUUAGAUACCCUGGUAGUCCACGCCCUAAACGAUGUCAACUAGGUGUUGGGAGGGUAAAACCUUUUAGUACCGGAGCUAACGCGUGAAGUUGACCGCCUGGGGAGUACGGCCGCAAGGUUA